Molecule: transfer RNA, 72 nt
Filed under: Candidatus Woesebacteria bacterium
Lineage: Bacteria; Candidatus Woeseibacteriota
Description: tRNA-Lys
Rfam family: tRNA
About the family: Transfer RNA (tRNA) molecules are approximately 80 nucleotides in length.
Source: RNAcentral
GGGCCCAUAGCUCAGCGGUAGAGCGGUUCCCUUUUAAGGAAAAGGUCACAGGUUCGAUCCCUGUUGGGCUCA